CGGGACACGUGGUAUCCUGUCUGAAUAUGGGGGGACCAUCCUCCAAGGCUAAAUACUCCUGACUGACCGAUAGUGAACCAGUACCGUGAGGGAAAGGCGAAAAGAACCCCGGCGAGGGGAGUGAAAAAGAACCUGAAACCGUGUACGUACAAGCAGUGGGAGCACGCUUAGGCGUGUGACUGCGUACCUUUUGUAUAAUGGGUCAGCGACUUAUAUUCUGUAGCAAGGUUAACCGAAUAGGGGAGCCGAAGGGAAACCGAGUCUUAACUGGGCGUUAAGUUGCAGGGUAUAGACCCGAAACCCGGUGAUCUAGCCAUGGGCAGGUUGAAGGUUGGGUAACACUAACUGGAGGACCGAACCGACUAAUGUUGAAAAAUUAGCGGAUGACUUGUGGCUGGGGGUGAAAGGCCAAUCAAACCGGGAGAUAGCUGGUUCUCCCCGAAAGCUAUUUAGGUAGCGCCUCGUGAAUUCAUCUCCGGGGGUAGAGCACUGUUUCGGCAAGGGGGUCAUCCCGACUUACCAACCCGAUGCAAACUGCGAAUACCGGAGAAUGUUAUCACGGGAGACACACGGCGGGUGCUAACGUCCGUCGUGAAGAGGGAAACAACCCAGACCGCCAGCUAAGGUCCCAAAGUCAUGGUUAAGUGGGAAACGAUGUGGGAAGGCCCAGACAGCCAGGAUGUUGGCUUAGAAGCAGCCAUCAUUUAAAGAAAGCGUAAUAGCUCACUGGUCGAGUCGGCCUGCGCGGAAGAUGUAACGGGGCUAAACCAUGCACCGAAGCUGCGGCAGCGACGCUUAUGCGUUGUUGGGUAGGGGAGCGUUCUGUAAGCCUGUGAAGGUGUGCUGUGAGGCAUGCUGGAGGUAUCAGAAGUGCGAAUGCUGACAUAAGUAACGAUAAAGCGGGUGAAAAGCCCGCUCGCCGGAAGACCAAGGGUUCCUGUCCAACGUUAAUCGGGGCAGGGUGAGUCGACCCCUAAGGCGAGGCCGAAAGGCGUAGUCGAUGGGAAACAGGUUAAUAUUCCUGUACUUGGUGUUACUGCGAAGGGGGGACGGAGAAGGCUAUGUUGGCCGGGCGACGGUUGUCCCGGUUUAAGCGUGUAGGCUGGUUUUCCAGGCAAAUCCGGAAAAUCAAGGCUGAGGCGUGAUGACGAGGCACUACGGUGCUGAAGCAACAAAUGCCCUGCUUCCAGGAAAAGCCUCUAAGCAUCAGGUAACAUCAAAUCGUACCCCAAACCGACACAGGUGGUCAGGUAGAGAAUACCAAGGCGCUUGAGAGAACUCGGGUGAAGGAACUAGGCAAAAUGGUGCCGUAACUUCGGGAGAAGGCACGCUGAUAUGUAGGUGAAGCGACUUGCUCGUGGAGCUGAAAUCAGUCGAAGAUACCAGCUGGCUGCAACUGUUUAUUAAAAACACAGCACUGUGCAAACACGAAAGUGGACGUAUACGGUGUGACGCCUGCCCGGUGCCGGAAGGUUAAUUGAUGGGGUCAGCGCAAGCGAAGCUCUUGAUCGAAGCCCCGGUAAACGGCGGCCGUAACUAUAACGGUCCUAAGGUAGCGAAAUUCCUUGUCGGGUAAGUUCCGACCUGCACGAAUGGCGUAAUGAUGGCCAGGCUGUCUCCACCCGAGACUCAGUGAAAUUGAACUCGCUGUGAAGAUGCAGUGUACCCGCGGCAAGACGGAAAGACCCCG
This 1690-nucleotide ribosomal RNA is filed under the name Escherichia coli. RNAcentral's name for it is "partial 23S ribosomal RNA". It matches the Rfam family "Bacterial large subunit ribosomal RNA", at positions 418 to 2093 of the family's 2925-position model. The record is from RNAcentral. Lineage: Bacteria; Pseudomonadati; Pseudomonadota; Gammaproteobacteria; Enterobacterales; Enterobacteriaceae.